AACCUUUUGAGUUUUUUUCUGGCUCAGGACGAACGCGGGCGGCGUGCCUAAUACAUGCAAGUCGAGCGGACCGACGGGAGCUUGCUCCCUUAGGUCAGCGGCGGACGGGUGAGUAACACGUGGGUAACCUGCCUGUAAGACUGGGAUAACUCCGGGAAACCGGGGCUAAUACCGGAUGCUUGAUUGAACCGCAUGGUUCAAUCAUAAAAGGUGGCUUUUAGCUACCACUUACAGAUGGACCCGCGGCGCAUUAGCUAGUUGGUGAGGUAACGGCUCACCAAGGCGACGAUGCGUAGCCGACCUGAGAGGGUGAUCGGCCACACUGGGACUGAGACACGGCCCAGACUCCUACGGGAGGCAGCAGUAGGGAAUCUUCCGCAAUGGACGAAAGUCUGACGGAGCAACGCCGCGUGAGUGAUGAAGGUUUUCGGAUCGUAAAACUCUGUUGUUAGGGAAGAACAAGUACCGUUCGAAUAGGGCGGUACCUUGACGGUACCUAACCAGAAAGCCACGGCUAACUACGUGCCAGCAGCCGCGGUAAUACGUAGGUGGCAAGCGUUGUCCGGAAUUAUUGGGCGUAAAGCGCGCGCAGGCGGUUUCUUAAGUCUGAUGUGAAAGCCCCCGGCUCAACCGGGGAGGGUCAUUGGAAACUGGGGAACUUGAGUGCAGAAGAGGAGAGUGGAAUUCCACGUGUAGCGGUGAAAUGCGUAGAGAUGUGGAGGAACACCAGUGGCGAAGGCGACUCUCUGGUCUGUAACUGACGCUGAGGCGCGAAAGCGUGGGGAGCGAACAGGAUUAGAUACCCUGGUAGUCCACGCCGUAAACGAUGAGUGCCUAAGUGUUAGAGCCGCUUCCCGCCCCCCCGCCCCGCAGCCCCCGCAUCCCAGCAACUCCCCUUUGGAGUACG
RNAcentral lists this ribosomal RNA (907 nucleotides) under Bacillus licheniformis. Its description in RNAcentral is "bacterial SSU rRNA". It matches the Rfam family "Bacterial small subunit ribosomal RNA", at positions 1 to 884 of the family's 1533-position model. The record is from RNAcentral. Lineage: Bacteria; Bacillati; Bacillota; Bacilli; Caryophanales; Bacillaceae.